Molecule: long non-coding RNA, 904 nt
Organism: Spinacia oleracea (spinach)
Lineage: Eukaryota; Viridiplantae; Streptophyta; Magnoliopsida; Caryophyllales; Amaranthaceae
Exons: 2
Source: RefSeq, a predicted model, not a curated record
UUAGCUUUCGAUACAAGCCUAGUUUCUAUGAGUUCUUUGUUUUACAUUAAAUAUUUUCCCAUUUCUUUAGUUUAACUUUUGCUUAAACUACAAUUUUUUUUUUUUACAGAAUAUGUAUCUCUCUCUCUAGAAAACUCUCUGACUUCUCUCUUAAAAAAAAAGAGGGCAAAACUUAAACCCUAGUUUCUUCCUUGGCGGCGGCCCGAGAUCUGCCUCUCAACUCGGGUCGUCGGCGAGCUUCCGUCAUCAAGGCUUCAUCGGGGCUUCGACGUAGUUCGUUGAAGAAGUUUUCCUACGUUUCCGUCCAGAGUUAAGGGGAAGCGAUGGAAGCUCGUCUCCGAGGAGCGUCGUUUUAGUAGCUAGUGUUCUUAAGAUCCGGCCAUCAUCGACUCGCCAAUUCGUAAACGGAGGUUAAUCAGACCAGAUCAACAACUUGGGGCGCCUUUUUCGAUUUCACCUCAAACGCCGCCGCCGUAAUAACGCCGGUAAAGGUUAUUAGAGGACCAUCUCAGUUGUUUUCACCCAAACUUCACCCUUUGUGGAAAAGGAAAAGGGAAAUGGGAAAGCAUGUGUAUUGUAGGUUUUGGCACGCAUAGUUCAAAGCGGUGCUACCUGCAACAAGAGUCCAACUGCCAAGGGCCAACUCGGAGAGCGAUUACUUUAAGUUUAUCCUUUCAAGUUUUUGAUGUUGAGCAACUAGUGCUGCUCAUGUUGUUAAUGUAGUUCUUGUUCAAGUCUAUAAAGGCCUUGUAGGGUUGUAAGACUAUUUCUUUUAUGUAUGAUUAAGCCUAUGUCAAAAAAAAAAAAAAAACACUACAACCUUUUUCUUUCCCCAAUUAUAUUGCUCCACAACAUAGAUUUUGUGUACGAAUGCAAAUUAUCUUUCAUUCUCUUCCUCGAUUAA